Molecule: unclassified non-coding RNA, 327 nt
Filed under: soil metagenome
Description: partial contains 5.8S ribosomal RNA, internal transcribed spacer 2, and large subunit ribosomal RNA
Rfam family: 5.8S ribosomal RNA (bases 1-120)
Source: RNAcentral
GAUGAAGAACGUAGCGAAAUGCGAUAAGUAGUGUGAAUUGCAGACUUUAGUGAAUCAUCGAAUCUUUGAACGCACAUUGCGCCCCUUGGUAUUCCGAGGGGCAUGCCUGUUCGAGCGUCAUUAUAACCCCUCAAGCUCAGCUUGGUGUUGGGGCCUGCUGCACUGGCAGCCCUUAAAAUCAGUGGCGGCGCCAUCUGGCUCUAAGCGUAGUAAUUCUUCUCGCUAUGGAGUCCUGGUGGAUGCUUGCCAUCAACCCCCAAUUUUUCUAUGGUUGACCUCGGAUCAGGUAGGGAUACCCGCUGAACUUAAGCAUAUCAUAAGCGAGGA